Molecule: ribosomal RNA, 253 nt
Filed under: uncultured bacterium
Lineage: Bacteria
Description: partial 16S ribosomal RNA
Rfam family: Bacterial small subunit ribosomal RNA
Source: RNAcentral
UACGAAGGGUGCAAACGUUGCUCGGAAUUAUUGGGCGUAAAGCGCACGUAGGCGGCCCAGCAAGUCGGAAGUGAAAUCCCACGGCUCAACCAUGGAAGUGCUUUCGAAACUGCUGGGCUUGAGUACAAAAGAGGAUCGCGGAAUUCCCGGUGUAGAGGUGAAAUUCGUAGAUAUCGGGAGGAACACCAGUGGCGAAGGCGGCGAUCUGGGUUAAUACUGACGCUGAGGUGCGAAAGCGUGGGGAGCAAACAGG